Corvus hawaiiensis (hawaiian crow) is the source of this 1169-nucleotide long non-coding RNA. RefSeq lists it as uncharacterized. The transcript is spliced from 2 exons. Lineage: Eukaryota; Metazoa; Chordata; Aves; Passeriformes; Corvidae. The record is from RefSeq and is a predicted model, not a curated record.
GGAAAUAGGUGAGUUCCACCCACCCACUGCUGCUGAUGCAGAGACUGGGGCUCAGGGCAUCUGCGCAGCCCUUCCCUUUGGCACUGAUCCUGCACUGGAAUGUUGUGUUGUUGCCAAACCGGGCCUCAAACCAGGAGAAGGUAAGCCCUGACCAUUUGCCCCUGACCCACCCACAGUGUGUUAUCUGGAGCGUGUGCCUCAGCUGGUGUCACUUGAGUUUCACCAGAGUUGCAAGUUGGCUCCUGCUCUGGGCGAUUCCGAGUGACCAUCACAUCAGUUCUGCACUAAGCACCGUUUAGCCAGACCCAGAGAUUUGGCCACAUAGUGACUUCUGAACAGAAAAUCAAAAUGCAGGAAAAGUGCCAGGACCACUGACGGGCCUGGGUACAGCACGGUCUUUGUGGGUCACUGUCACUCCAGGCCCUUACAGUCUCUCCUCAUCUUUCUUGUAGGCUCCCUUCAGGUGCAGGAGCCAUUGCUCACUGGUGUUUUUGACUAUUCUCUGCCAAGGAAAUGAGUUGAAUUUCCUUGUCAAAUCUAAUAGGCUUUUAUACUUGGGCUUCUCUGCUGUGGGAUUCAUACUUAGAGACUGGUGUUGGUGUCUGGACGCUUCCAGAAGGUGGAUGUUAUCCCUGGAUGUAUAAAGAAAACGCCUAUCCAUCAUCUCUCAGGCAAUGAGAGCGGUGCAGGUGUCUGGCAUGGCAGCCUUUCCACCAGUUCACUGGUUGAGCUGGUGCCAAGGUGAGCCCACUCUCUAAAUUUCCCUUGCAUGCCUCAAGGCGUGCAUCGUAAGAUUCGUGCUUGUUGGAAGGACAGGAUUGAGCCGGUCUCCUGAGCAGUGAGUGUCAGGCGACGUUCUCUUUGCUGCACGUUGGUGACUCCAGGGGGUUCUGGAGUAAUACAGACAUGCAGGCUCGAGAAGGCACAAAAGAGUGCUUUCCUUUCAAACACGGGAACUGGUGAAAAAGUGUGGUUUGUCUCUCACUGCCUGCAUUCCCUUCAACCCAGCGAGGCCGUAUGGAGCUGAUGACUUCCUGCCUGUGUUGACAUAGGCCCUAGCCCAGUGUGAUGAACUGGAGACUGAAAUCGAAUACAUGACAGAGUGGCUGGAUCCAUCCUUGGUGUAUGGAGAAGCUAAAGGCUGAGAGGGGACACUGUCGGUAAUACAG